UAAAACAGAUAUUCAUAUACAAAUACCAAAUUGCCCUCUCAAAAGUAAUUUGGUGUUUAUGGUCUCUCUCUUCACUCAAAACAGAGAGAAAGACAAUAAGGGAGAGAGGGACAGAGUACGGAAAUGGUGACUCUGCACCGUCUAGAUUUCUGGAGAGCAAAUGCAUCUGCUGUGGAACCAAACUGGUAGCGUCCCCUUUUUCUAUCCAUGUAGUAUUAAGUAGCUUAUGAUAAGUAAUUUCUAAUUUUUGUUUUUCUUCUGUGUUGUGUUUGAGCUUUGUGUUGGAAAAUGUUAAUUCCUUCCAUGUCUCUGUCUUUGGAUUAUGCUUUAAAUGAUUCAUUACAUAUGUUAAUUUUUCUUUAGUGGUUUAUUGUCCAAUUAUGCCUAGCGAGUUCUGUUCUGUGAUAUGCAAAUGAGGAUUUGAGUAACGAAAGGCAAGAAUAUUGAUUCUUAAACAACUGCCCUAUUAUGAGCUGAAUGAAUUAUUUCAUGUUUUUAAAUGCAAUUAAUAUGCAAUUAGCUGUGGUGUAGUUAUGAAUUUGAUGAUUUAUUGGUUACAAUUUGUUUAAAUAUUGCUCAUUCAACUUUUUGUUACAAGUUUUGGGUGAAGGAAGAAACUUGAGGAUUAUUUUUGUAGUCAAUCUCUCCAAAAAAAUUUGUGGAAGUUGUAAAUUCUUAUAAAUGGCUUAUAACACUUGUGUUAUCCCACAUUGGUUUGGGAUAAGGUAUUUCAACAUAUAAGACUCGAACAAUCCUCCUCCCCUUGAUCUAGCUUUUGGGGAGUGAGUUAGGCCCUGGUCUAUUUUAUUAAUAGGUAUCAUAGCCUACCAUACUUCAAUUCAUGCUCAAUGUUCACUUUUAGCUUUUUCACUUUCCUCAUUUUCCUCUUUCAUGACUUACUGGAAUUUGUUUCCUUCAAGUUCAGAAUUUUUUAUUUUGUCCAUGCUUGUUUAACUUCCCUUUUUGUUACUAUUUCCUUGAUCAAUAAAUAUGAAUAUUUACUUUCUCCAUAAGUUUUGAGAACCUAAAAUACAUAGCUUGGACUUUGAUGUGGGGUUCAUUUUUAAUUACCUGUAUUUCUUUAAUUCCGAGUAGGUGGUUUUUUAUUGUUAAUCUCAACCUGUAUUCCCUUGCUUGAAGCAGUUGUGAGAAUGAUUUCUGGUGGAGUUUUUAAAGCAGUUCUUUAUGAAUUUAUCAUGAAGGAGAUUUUUUUUUUCUGUAGUUUGCUCAAUUGCAUUGAUAUCCUGCUUCCUUUGAUGUUGAUUUUGUCUGCAGUAUAGGUUCCAUGCCCUUCAAAAAAUUUUUUGAUACAAUAUUUUUUCCCUUUGUUUCUGAAAUAUCCUUCUGUUAUGAGACUUAGGUUUUUACCUCAUUUAGUACAUAAAUUUGCCCAAAAACACUCUUUCAGCAUGAAUAGAUGCCAAUGAGCUUCUUUAAUAGUAUGAACCUAGACAAUUAUAGCCAUGGCCAGCUCUUAUUCUUAAAUAGAUAUUGUUUUUCUUUGGCUUAGAAUUGAGGGUGAGAUUUUAUAAAUAUGAAGGUAAUCAUGGAUUCAUGGUCCCAACUUUCACUAUGCACUUAUUUGUUAGAGUUGAUUGAUAGGCUGAGAACAUUGUUGUUCCCAGAAAAUAGAAAAGAAACUGUGUCAGGCCUGUUUUCUAAGACAUGGAGGUCAUAGGAGUUGAUUUGCUGCCGUUUUGUGUCAUUUUCUUGAGCAGGUGGUCAGAAGUAUUUUGCUUGUUUCUUUCCUUAGUAAAGUAAAAAAUAAGUGUCUCUGAAGGAAGUUUCCGAGUGGGAGACAUACUAUCGUCAUUGCUGCUUGAAAGUGAAGGGAAAAAAAAAAAUGCAGUUAAGAGUACCAACUUGUUAGAAUCUUCCAAGUUGAUGUGUCCUCAUGGAAUCUGAGUCUGGUGGUAUCAUGUUCCCUGCUCUAACCAAACUAUUUGGGAACAUGAAAAUCAAUUCCAAUUCUAUAGCCUAAGGAGAUGUGGACCAACCAAUAUUUUUAAAAUUUUGUUUUUAUAGAGACACAUAACUACCAUCUCAAGAAAGUGAAAGAGAGAUUGCUGGAAACGUGAUAAAGCUAAGGAUAUUCUGCAGUUCUGUUGCUUUUUUAUUUUGAAUUAUCGGUCCAAAAUUUUCUGGCAUACUGAAUUUUUUUUUAUUCUCAAUUUACUUUACAGAACUUGUAUUCCCAUUUGUUAUAAUGGGAAAGCUUAAAGUGGAUUCUUCAAUCUUAGGGUCAUAUGUACUCUUAAUUCCAUGUAGCUGAUUAAUUCGACAAAUGAAAGAUGCUAAUUCCAUUUUC
Long non-coding RNA from Jatropha curcas, 2308 nucleotides. RefSeq lists it as uncharacterized. NCBI's taxonomy places the organism in Eukaryota, Viridiplantae, Streptophyta, Magnoliopsida, Malpighiales, Euphorbiaceae. The record is from RefSeq and is a predicted model, not a curated record.